RNAcentral lists this unclassified non-coding RNA (281 nucleotides) under Hevea brasiliensis (rubber tree). The record is from RNAcentral. Lineage: Eukaryota; Viridiplantae; Streptophyta; Magnoliopsida; Malpighiales; Euphorbiaceae.
UUUUUUUUUUUUUUUUUAAAUUGACUGGGUAAAAAUUAAAUGGAAUAGUUGUUAAUUAAAAUAUAAUGAAUGCUUAACAUUAAGAAUUAUUUAACUUACAAUAUAUUGAUGACCUAAAAUUAAAAAACUUCUCAAAUUUAUCUUCAAUUUAAUUUUUCCAAAGUAAUCAUGAAAAAUAAACUUAAUUAAAAUUGUAGAUCAAAUAAAAUAAAUGGUACGAUUUUAAUUUGUAAAAGAAUUUUUUUUUUUAAUUUGAGUAUGAUGAAAUCAUAACAAUUGAG